This 108-nucleotide non-coding RNA is filed under the name Niabella soli. Its description in RNAcentral is "TPP sequence". It matches the Rfam family "TPP riboswitch aptamer (THI element)". Rfam says of the family: Vitamin B(1) in its active form thiamin pyrophosphate (TPP) is an essential coenzyme that is synthesised by coupling of pyrimidine and thiazole moieties in bacteria. The previously detected thiamin-regulatory element, thi box was extended, resulting in a new, highly conserved RNA secondary structure, the THI element, which is widely distributed in eubacteria and also occurs in some archaea. The record is from RNAcentral. Lineage: Bacteria; Pseudomonadati; Bacteroidota; Chitinophagia; Chitinophagales; Chitinophagaceae. RNAcentral also lists the same sequence under 1 other name.
UCAGUGUUCCCGGGGUGCUGGAUUUCGCCACAGGCGAAUGACGGCUGAGAUAAUACCCGUAAACCUGAUCAGGGUAAUGCCUGCGCAGGGAAGGAUGCCUCCUUUCUU